This 1198-nucleotide long non-coding RNA is filed under the name Mytilus galloprovincialis (Mediterranean mussel). The record is from RNAcentral. Lineage: Eukaryota; Metazoa; Mollusca; Bivalvia; Mytilida; Mytilidae.
GGGAGAUAAGAUAUUCUGUGUCAUCAAUUUUAAUUCCUUUAAUUUCUUUGUUCUUUCUGAUUAAAAUUCCUAGAAUUUCAGCACAUAAAAGAAAAAAUAUAAGGUGAUAAAGGAUCCCCUUGUCUACAGCCUCUUUGAAUCUGAAAGAAAUCUGAUAAAAAACAGUUUUGGGAUACUGAUGAGCUUAUAUUUGUGUAAAAAGUCUUUAUCCAAAGUUUUAUAGAGGGUCCAAAAUUGAAAAAGUCUAAUACUUCAUUUAUGAAUUUCCAUGAUACCGAAUCAAAAGCUUUUUCAAAAUCUAUGAGAAGGAGAAGACCUGGCAAAUCAUUUACCUCUGUAUAGAAUAAAAUAUCAUAUAUGAGACGAGUGUUUUCUCCAAUAUAUCUUCCAGGAAUAAAACCUGUCUGAUCAUUGCUAAUAAUAAUGGGUAGAACAGAUUUGAUACGCUCUGCUAUACAACUUGAUGCUAGUUUAUAUGUUGUAUUCAAAAGACUUAUUGGUCGCCAAUUUUUCAUAAACUGUCUAGGUUUAUCACCUUUUGGUAAACAAGUAAUAAUACCCUGUUUUUGAGUUAUUGAUAAUUCCCCCCUUUUGUAACCAUAAAUUAUAGAUCUGAAAACAAAUUUUCCUACAUUUGUCCAAAAGAAUUUAAAGAACUCAUUUGUAAAGCCAUCUGACCCUGGACUUUUCUCAUUUUUCAUUCUACGCAUAGCUGUUGUCAAUUCAUUAUAAGUUAUCUCCCCCUCUAAAGAUUCUUUUAAAGUAUCAUUUAAUUUUUUAAUAUCAGAAUCAGGUAUUUCACUAUUAAGAUUUACUUCACUCAAGCUUUCUGUUUUAGUAUACAGUUUUUUAUAGUAAUUUUUGGCCUCUUCUAAUAUUUUAUCUUGUUUACAAAUUGUCUCCCCUUUUUCAUUAACUAGUUUGGGGAUGGUUUUAUUUAUAAAAUGUUUAGUUUCCAUAUUAAAAAAAAAACUAGAUGGCUUUUCCCCUUCUUCAAUCCAUUGCAUUUUUGACCUGAUAUAGUAUCCCCUCAUUUUUUCUUUCCUUAUUAUUCUAAGAUCAGAUUUAUGGUGUUCAAUUUCAUUUAAUAUUUCCUCUGUUAAGAUGCUUUCCUCUAAUUUCUGAAUUUUUUCUGAUAAUUAUUUUUCCUCUUUAUCUCUUUCCUUCUUUUUAUAAGAUGCAUAGGAAAUGGUUUUUC